RNAcentral lists this ribosomal RNA (402 nucleotides) under uncultured prokaryote. RNAcentral describes it as "bacterial SSU rRNA". It matches the Rfam family "Bacterial small subunit ribosomal RNA", at positions 355 to 774 of the family's 1533-position model. The record is from RNAcentral.
UGAGGAAUUUUGCGCAAUGGGCGAAGCCUGACGCAGCGACGCCGCGAGAGGGAUGACGGCCUUCGGGUUGUAAACCUCUUUCAGCAGGGACGAAUGUAGACGGUACCUGUAGAAGAAGCACCGGCCAACUACGUGCCAGCAGCCGCGGUAAUACGUAGGGUGCGAGCGUUGUCCGGAAUUAUUGGGCGUAAGGAGCUCGUAGGCGGUCUGUCGCGUCGAAUGUGAAAACCCGGGGCUCAACUCCGGUCUUGCAUUCGAUACGGGCAGGCUAGAGUUCGGUAGGGGAGUCUGGAAUUCCUGGUGUAGCGGUGAAAUGCGCAGAUAUCAGGAGGAACACCGGUGGCGAAGGCGGGACUCUGGGCCGAUACUGACGCUGAGGAGCGAAAGCGUGGGGAGCGAACA